RNAcentral lists this ribosomal RNA (252 nucleotides) under uncultured Bacteroidales bacterium. RNAcentral describes it as "partial 16S ribosomal RNA". It matches the Rfam family "Bacterial small subunit ribosomal RNA", at positions 524 to 776 of the family's 1533-position model. The record is from RNAcentral. Lineage: Bacteria; Pseudomonadati; Bacteroidota; Bacteroidia; Bacteroidales.
UACGGAGGAUCCGAGCGUUAUCCGGAUUUAUUGGGUUUAAAGGGAGCGUAGGUGGAUUGUUAAGUCAGCGGUCAAAUCGUGGGGCUCAACCCCAUCCAGCCGUUGAAACUGGGGAUCUAGAGUGUGCGAGAGGUAUGCGGAAUGCGUGGUGUAGCGGUGAAAUGCAUAGAUAUCGCGCAGAACCCCGAUUGCGAAGGCAGCAUACCGGUGCACAACUGACGCUGAAGCACGAAAGCGUGGGUAUCGAACAGG